GGAGCCGGAAAGGGGUACUGCUGUAAGGGUGGCGCCUGGCUUAGUCGCCCCUGAUCUCCAGGACUGCAGAUGCCUCGCCGGCGCGAUCACUGAACACAAUUCCAUUCACAUUCGCCUUACGUGGUCACUUUCCCAGCAGUAAGCUCAAAAUCAGUGGAGACGCCCCCACACUACCUGCCCCUACCAAAGCCAGUACGAAGGGGUGAGGUGAGGUGGUGGCCGCCUCGCCUAGCCUUCCCAACUCAAACUCCGCUUCUCUUGCCUAGAGUCCAGCGCCUGGGGCACGGGAGGGUUAAACUCCCGGUGGGGUAAGGAUUCCAGAGCGGUAGGAAGAAAGAGGGAGGGGAGAGGAGGCACGAGGAGGAGCUGGCCAGAAUCAAGCCUCGGAGCCGUUGGAGACUGGGGUGUCACAGGCCAUCAGGCAGCCACUGUGGCACACGCUGCACUAAACUUCAAGUCGGGAGCAAGGGAGAGACGCGGGGCAUCAAGACCAGGGGUGGGGGAGGGGAGGGAGGCAGCCACCUCUAUCUCUUCUGGCGUUUUCCCAGGCGCUUCAGUCCCUCCUCCGGGCACCAUAUUGCCUGUGGUGCAGGAUGAGGCCCAGAGGCGGCCCCACAGCAACCUCGGAGUCCGAGUUGGCUGACGUGCCCCUGGGUCAGCCGCGUUGGGCCUGCCCGGCUGACGUGCGGCUCAGCUUGGUGCUGGGCGCUGGCCCGCCGCGCCUCGAGUGUUAGUUCCGAAACCGAGAAUUUCCGCGCCAUAGGAGCACGGCCCAAGCUCAGCAUAAGCCUGGCAGGCGUGUGCACCAUCAGCAAGCGCAAAAGGACACGCACCAGCGAAAGCCUGAUUGUCUACACGCGCAACUGUAGCCUGGGCGUGGCAGCGGCUAGCAAGGCGGAACAGCAGGCGUCGUACAAUGCCCUACUGGAAGUGCAGAAGUGCAGCCUGCUGCCACUGAUCCCGGUUCCCAUGAGGAUCCCAGGACCUGGAUCUUCACUCUGUUUCAGGACAUCUGGCCUGUGACACUGCAGCCUAAGGGGCUGGGGCAGACACAAAGCCUGGGCGCUGGUGGCUACCGCCUGUGCCUGGGUUCAGGGGUACUAAGCCUGAAGUGAAAGCCCAGGGGCAGAGGUUCUGGGGACAUCCAGGCAUUGCCACUGCCAGCCUUAAGCCUGUCCCUGCUCAGCGUACGCCGCUGUGGCCACACAGACUCCUUCUUCUUCCUGGAGCUGAGCCACUCAGCACCCAUGAGUCCCAGGGAGCUGUGGCUACAGGCGCCUGAUGCCUUGGUGGCCCAAAGCAUUCACAAGACUGUCCUGGCGGCCAUGAAGCGACUAGGGGAUAGUGAUGCCAGUCGCAGGGCUAAACCACUGCCAAUGGAUCCUCCGAGUAGCUCCUCUAGACCCUCCUCUGUCCCCUAAUCUUAUGAGAUCCAGGCCUCUGAGGCCCAGUCAGCCACCCUGAGCCGUUGGAGGUGCCUGGGUGAGAGGAGCCAGCAAGCAUCUCUGGGGAUGGCAGCCUCAUACCCUGAGGGGCUGGAGCAGGGCGGGGACCACACAUCUAUGGGAGCUGAGAGUGAUUAGAGCCCAUGAGAGGUGGCGAAGCAGGAAGCUACAUGACAAUGGCGCCCAACCCCCCUCCUACUAAUGCCAAUGCUGCUCCCCACCAUCUGCUCCAGGAUUGUGGGGGCACUGAAUAUGUACCCAUUAGCCACUUUCUGCCAGAGUUUUCCUUGGGGUCCUUACCCCAUUCCUACAAGUCUGGGGCUUGAAAGCCUGGACAUGGGCUCCAAGGCCCCCAUCAAGAGCAUUGGGGCCAGCUGGGGGCCAGCAAGGGCUCAGCCCCGCUUGCAGCCACCAUCAGAGCUAGCAAGGGAAUAUGUGUGCAGCAAGUACGCGGCUUCAGACUACGUAAGAAUGGACACUGCCAUACAAAAUCGCCUGGAUGGCCACUUCAGCUACGUUGACUUGAACCUGAUCUCUCCUCUGGAGGCAAGAGGCCACGCCUGAGGGCCCAGCACGCAUCAUCCACACAGCUAUACCCAAAUCAAGUUUCGGAAGUUCAGAGAGGCAUGGGUGAGAGCCUGCCCAUUCUAGCUGAGGGAUGGAUAGAGGCAGGGAAGAAAAAACAGGGCAAAGUUAGGAAUGCCUUCCCACCUGCUUCAGCCACUGAGGGGCUCUAAGGCCCAAACACUCCCUAGGAUUUGUGACCUGAGAAGUGCUGAGUUGCUUCUUAGAGCCUGCUGCCCACUCUGCCCCUUCCAGCUGUGGUGCCUGGGAAAUCUUGAGGAGGUUCCCAAGAUGUUGGAUUCUUUUAAAAUUCUAGAACUCCUACUUCCAAAAAUAAAACCCCUAAAAAUGUC
This is a long non-coding RNA of Pteropus alecto (black flying fox), 2362 nucleotides long. RefSeq lists it as uncharacterized. The transcript has 2 exons. NCBI's taxonomy places the organism in Eukaryota, Metazoa, Chordata, Mammalia, Chiroptera, Pteropodidae. The record is from RefSeq and is a predicted model, not a curated record.